Non-coding RNA from Macaca mulatta (Rhesus monkey), 855 nucleotides. Lineage: Eukaryota; Metazoa; Chordata; Mammalia; Primates; Cercopithecidae. The record is from RefSeq and is a predicted model, not a curated record.
AGUUGGUCCUCAAUUUGGUCCAGCGUCUGAGCCCCGCCCCUGGAGUGGAGUGCCACCUCUCCACUGCAAUGUUUCCCUAGAAACCCAUCGAUUUAUAGCAUCUGUAGCUGGCCUUUUGGAGACCCCAGACCAAACUGUGUUAGAAAACAACAGCAACAACAAAACUCCUAUUUCUCCAAAUGGCCCUGGAAGACGCACCGACUGUGCCCUCAAGACCCUGUGUGUGGGGCGUCCGCCUCCCUGGGCGCAUGGAGUUGGCUGGUGACCAGGGUGUAAGGGUGCAUACUGGGCAAGGACGGGCUGAGGCAGGCGGCAAGGUCCGCAUCAUCCUCACCCAUCUGUGGUCCCUGGUCACGAAGGAUAGACCCAUCCAUCCACCUUUCUGAAACUGUUGCCAAUGCACCCUGAAUUCGGGAAUGCUCUCCUCUCUCUUCUUUCUCCCCUUGCCAGACUCAGGGCAGAGAUGGUGGCUGACGUUUUUCCCCAAGGGUGAGGACAAGGAAUGACCAAAAGAUCAUCAUCCAGGGGCUUUGGGAAUGUGGGCCCUGCUGCGUUUCCUCCAGCAGAAGGGUUUCUUUCCUUCAGUUUCCAUCAGUUUUCAGGGAGGACAAAGGUCCCUUUUGCUACCUGAUCUCUGUCUCACGCUCUGCAAACCCAUCCUGCAGGCUGCAGGCACGACCCCACUUGGGAGUCCAUCCCCCUUUCUCUCACUCCUUCUCCAUGACUUCCCACAACUCUUGGCUGGGUGUGUGCUCCAGGGAACUUUCUAGGGUGGUGGCACUAUGCCACAAUUUGGGGGUUUUAGGGUGGUAGUUACGUGGGUGUCUACAAUUGUUAAAAUUUACUAAACUAAGA